This 859-nucleotide ribosomal RNA is filed under the name uncultured archaeon. RNAcentral's name for it is "bacterial SSU rRNA". It matches the Rfam family "Archaeal small subunit ribosomal RNA", at positions 449 to 1306 of the family's 1478-position model. The record is from RNAcentral.
GGCCCGGUGGCAGCCGCCGCGGUAAGACCGGCGGCCCGAGUGGCGGCACUCUUAUUGGGCCUAAAGCGUCCGUAGCUGGCUCAGUAAGUCCCCCGGGAAAUCUGGUCGCUUAACGAUCAGACUUCCGGGGGAUACUGCUGAGCUAGGGACCGGGAGAGGCCGAGGGUAUUCCCGGGGUAGGGGUGAAAUCCUGUAAUCCCGGGAGGACCACCUGUGGCGAAGGCGCUCGGCUGGAACGGGUCCGACGGUGAGGGACGAAGGCCUGGGGAGCGAACCGGAUUAGAUACCCGGGUAGUCCAGGCUGUAAACGAUGCGGGCUAGGUGUCACCGGAGCUACGAGCUCCGGUGGUGCCGGAGGGAAGCCGUUAAGCCCGCCGCCUGGGAAGUACGGCCGCAAGGCUGAAACUUAAAGGAAUUGGCGGGGGAGCACUACAACGGGUGGAGCCUGCGGUUUAAUUGGAUUCAACGCCGGGAAGCUUACCGGGGGAGACAGCGGGAUGAAGGUCGGGCUGAAGACCUUACCAGACUAGCUGAGAGGUGGCGCAUGGCCGCCGUCAGUUCGUACUGUGAAGCAUCCUGUUAAGUCAGGCAACGAGCGAGACCCGCGCCCUCAGUUGCCAGCGGGUCCCUUCGGGGACGCCGGGCACACUGAGGGGACUGCCGGCGCUAAGCCGGAGGAAGGUGCGGGCAACGGCAGGUCCGUAUGCCCCGAAUCCCCCGGGCUACACGCGGGCUACAAUGGCCGGGACAAUGGGUACCGACCCCGAAAGGGGUGGGUAAUCUCCUAAACCCGGUCUAACCUGGGAUCGAGGGCUGCAACUCGCCCUCGUGAACCUGGAAUCCGUAGUAAUCGCGUCUC